GCUUUGGAAAGGCUUUUCCAAAGCAAACAUUCGUACAUUUUCCGCGCAAAACGGUAUAGGAAGAGAACGAUUGCAGGACUCCAAACUGGAGAGCGAGAUUGCUCAAGCAAUUAAUGAGGUAAGCAACAGCAUUUUGAUUAAUUUGUAUGAUUGCUAACCGCAGUGUACUUGCAGGUAGUGACCAGUGGCGUUUGUAGCCUACAAAAUGCACCAGUGGCGUUUGUAGCCUACAAAAUGCACACCAUUUUGUAGCCAAAAUGGUGUGCACCAACAAUUAGGAAAAACAACAGUGCUUUCUCUUGUAACCGAUGUGUUCCUCACAGAUCCAUGCACUGUAGCAAUCACACAAGCCUAAAUGAAGAAUGCAUUAUUCCACGUCAUAAGCUGACAAAACUUGCAAUAACCUUUGUAUAGAAUCUGUCCAAAAUAAGAUGGUGUGUGUAAUAAUUGGUUUGUAAGAGGAAUACAAAAAAGGAUUGCAUAUUCGUCUUCAAUUUCAGACUGGACCAUCAUAUGGAAGAAGAAUGAUGACGGGCUACCUGUCCUCCAAAGGUAUCAGAGCAUCUGAGGGGCGCGUUGGUAGUGUCCUCAGACAUAUUAACAGGCCAUAUCAUGCAGAUCGUCAUCAGAGAUCAAGGAACUUAAAUCCAGUGCCAUACAGUGUCGAGUGCAUGGGUCACAAACUGCACUUAGAUGGUGAUGUUCGGGGUGACCCAUGUCCUUGCUGUUGACGGUUUCUCCAGUAAAAUUGUCAGCCAUUCCACUAUGCCUGUCAAAAACAACCUGACAAUAUAUCAAGAGGUGUACAGAAGUGCUGUCCUACAGCACAGAAUGUGGGACCAAAUACGAGUGGACCACGGAAGAGGGUUUUUCUUGACUCUUUUCAUGCAGGAGAAAUUGGCAGGCUACAGAAAUAACACAGCAAGGGAGCCGUACCUGCAAACAUCGUCAACACAUAAUCAUAUAAUUGAAAGGAUGUGGCCAGAUGUUAAUAACAGGGUAAACUACCCUCUGAAAAAGGGCUCUCAUCCACCUUGUAGACCAGGAGGAACUCAACAUGGAGGACAACUUGACACGGUAUUGUGUGUCCACGCUUACCUGUCAGGUGGCUCAGAUUGGACUUGACCGGAUGGUGCAGUCCUGGAAUGCACACAGGAUCCAAGGCAAGGGCAUCCCAGAUCAACUGACUCUGGGUGGAUGCCCAAAGAAAGCGCCAGCAGAUUGUCUGCCAGAGGCUGCAGGAGCUGCACACACUUACCUGCAGGAAGUGGGGUCCUCUUUGACACAAGUGUCAAUGUUUGGGAGAAAUCCAUUCUCCACAGCUGAAAACCAGACAGUAGCUGAACAUGAAUUUGCACAGCAGUACAGCGACGUUUCGGAAUUCUAUAACCACACCGUCAACUAUGAACCAACCCAUUUCCAAAAUGGAAUUAGGGAUCUUAUUGACAUUGUGAGAAGACAUGUGUAGCCUGAUCUGUCGGAUCGCAGAAGCUAUGCAGGGUCUGGCCUGGAGCUUCCUGUAUGUUAGUUGAGAAGUUUUUUUUUGAUGUUCUAAUGUUGCGUUGUUAAUGUGUUAGACGGCUUAGAUG
Molecule: long non-coding RNA, 1589 nt
Organism: Gadus morhua (Atlantic cod)
Lineage: Eukaryota; Metazoa; Chordata; Actinopteri; Gadiformes; Gadidae
Source: Ensembl